UACGGAGGGGGCGAGCGUUAUUCGGAAUUAUUGGGCGUAAAGGGCUCGUAGGCGGCCAACUAAGUCAGACGUGAAAUCCCUCGGCUUAACCGGGGACUGCGUCUGAUACUGGAUGGCUUGAGGUUGGGAGAGGGAUGCGGAAUUCCAGGUGUAGCGGUGAAAUGCGUAGAUAUCUGGAGGAACACCGGUGGCGAAGGCGGCAUCCUGGACCAAUUCUGACGCUGAGGAGCGAAAGCCAGGGGAGCAAACGGG
This 252-nucleotide ribosomal RNA is filed under the name uncultured bacterium. RNAcentral's name for it is "partial 16S ribosomal RNA". It matches the Rfam family "Bacterial small subunit ribosomal RNA", at positions 524 to 776 of the family's 1533-position model. The record is from RNAcentral.